Molecule: long non-coding RNA, 715 nt
Filed under: Numida meleagris (helmeted guineafowl)
Lineage: Eukaryota; Metazoa; Chordata; Aves; Galliformes; Numididae
Description: lncRNA (ENSNMEG00000019093.1)
Source: RNAcentral
UGUAGGGGUAUCUCUGGGAAGCCCAGGAAGAAUAAGAGCUGUGGCAAGAAAAGUAUCAGAUUGGAUUGUAAAGCUUCAGAGGUUGAAGGCUGUGGUUGAAGGUCUUUCUGAGAAUGAAAGACCACAUCUUCGGAAACCUGGGAUUUUAAGCAAGUUUUGGGGAUUCAUGGAAACAGAAGAUCAAAUGACUUUUCCAGAAGGCUUUUCUGUAUGCUCCCAGAAGAUACUGAAGAUCUCAAACACUGGAAAUACAUAAUUCCUAAAGCAUAUAUGAGCGUAUAAUCUUAAUUAAUGUCAUAUGUCUGAGAAUACCUACAAUCACUCACUUGAAAAAGUGAAACUUUACAUUGUUGCAAGAACAAGACAGGACAAAUAGAAAGAAGGGAAUUUUACUUAAUUCCCCAAGUAUUCUUUACAUCCUGGAGAAGUUAUUUAUCCUGUAUAAAAUAUUAAGUUGCUUGUCCCUGCAAGAAAACUCAUAAAACACAAGCGACUACUAAUGUUGAUUGUAGAUGUUUUGGAAGAAACCUUUUAUUUCCAUUUAUUUUAAUGAUUCAAUUAAAUGUAACAAAAUUGAUGUAAAAUAUUCUGGCUGAAAUUCUUCACCCCGUAUUAUGCAAGGGGUCAGAGCAGAAAAGCAUAAUUAUUUCCGUGAAUUACUACUCAUUUAGUUGUAUGGGACUUUUCCUUAGGAAUAAAUGUUUUUUUCUUGACA